UUUCCGUCGCAAUCUCCUGUGGCUUGACUAAUGAUUCCAUUAAAGAAAUCGUCGGUGACAAUAUCAGCAACCGAAACACCAUUACCGCCUCCAGUUGGUGCAGUAUUUGUGCAGGGACCAGCUUGGCAUCCCUCGCCACAAUAAUCGGAGGUAGUGCCACAGUAACCGUGCUUGCUGCAGCAGAGGCCUGCAGCACAGUUGCAGUUCUGGGCAGAAACUAGUGGGGCGGCAAUCAAGAUAGCGGUUAGGAAAAUGAGAAAUGUUUUCAUUUUGUUGUUUGUAGCAGAGGAUGAUGGAAAAUUAGGUUGGCGAUGAAGGGUUUUAUAGGCCAAGGCAUCAACUAGGUUCUGAAAAUUGGAGGCGAGAGUUUGAAAAUUGUGCUGGUAUAAUUUGACUUGGCAAUAGGGAGGACUCCUACCUAUUUGCGAUUUCUUUUACCGAAUGAAAUGUAUCAAACUACAUGCAUCAUGUUGUCUCAUUCAAUCUUGUCCUUUCUUAACUCGAAUAACAACCUACAUGAUAUUUUUCAAAAUAUUCUUAACUCUUAAGUAAAAAAGAUGAGGAAAAGUUAAAUGGAUCCAGAUAUCCGAUCCGUGAUCCGUGCUUCUAAUAAAUCCGGAUAUGGAUCGGUCUAGAAAAAACCCAAUCUCGAUCUAAUUCGAAUCCAAAUCUGAUAAAAUAAAUGUAUAUAAAUAUGAAUUUAGGCUGAUCGGAUCCGGACCCAAUCCAUCGACAAACCUAAGUAGGCAGAAGUAUAUGUUUUGGCAUGGCUAAACUAAAAGUCAAGUUGCAUAACAUGUACGUAAUAACUUUGACUGGGUGGACUGCUGCCACCGCUGCCAGUCUACCAUAUUCCGUGGAUAUUACGGAGCAGGAAAAACACAAUUCAUACGGACGUUUGAUUCAGCCAUAUGACUUAUGUGAUUUUUGAUUUAAUGUCAUUUAGGAGAUAGGUUGGCAGUUUAAAAUAUUUGUUUUGAUAAAUUUGACAUAUUAAUGACUAACACGUGAUUAAAAAUAUAAUAAUAAAUAUAAAAAUGAUUUAUAUGUAUAUUAUGUCUUAUGCAUAAUUUUUAUUAAAAAAUUAAUUCACUGAAAAAAAUAUAUCAAACUAACUUCUUGCUCAUUUCUGAUUUUAAGUCAGAAUCGGACUUAUAAUAACACAAAUAUACAUUUUUUAGUUUGAGUUAAAAAUAGUUUUAAACCCACACUUUAAGCAGGGACAAACAGAUUCUCGUACAAUACCUGUAUGAUUAUUUUGUAAAAUUGUAAAAUGUCCAUCACAACUCGUGUAUUGAACGGAGAUAAUAAUAUUCCUCGAGAAAAUCUCAGUAUAAAAUAUCAAUCUCAAUUUUCAGAUAAAAUGAUAUAUUUAGUUAUAUAUAUAUAUAUUUAAAUGCUUCAUGACGAGAACAAAAUUACUUAUAAGUUUUUUAUUGAAAAAAUGAGACUCUCUUUUAGAUACUCUGAAAUGGUAUAUUUAUCCAAUUUCUCGUAGACAUCUCGAUUAAUUAAUAAUUAAUUAACUAGUAACUCGUGAUCAAUUAAUAUUUGAACAAAAAAGUUUGAACUUCCAACAUGUUAGGGACAACACGUAUUCAAUCUCGAUUAACUUAUAAUUGCGAUAAAUUAAUAUAAUUUAGUGGUUUCAGCAUUAUUUAUUCAAUGAGAGGGGCCGUUUUGUUGAGCUUAAAGUAAAAAAAUAAGUAGAACUUAGAAACAAAUUAAGACUUAUAAGUGAUUACAGUGUUUGGCAAAGAAGUAGAAGUCAUGAAACAAAAGAGUUAGCAUUUUUAGCUUUUUAUAAGUAUUUUUUGACUUUUUACACAAACUGAUAUAUUAUAAUCCGGAUCGGGAGUAUUAGCAAGGUGCGGGGUUCAGAUAACAUCUUAGCCCGGAGAAUUCUCCCCACAAAAAGGAAGAAUAGACCACAAUCACAGGACGUCAAUCCGGGUCAAUACAUAUUGAGGAGUACGAUCCCAGAACCCGACUCGGUCUCAAAACAUCUAAGGGAGUCCCGCUCUUUGAUAGGUCACAGGUGACAUGGACAUAACAUGAACGAUCAACUGCUGUCAAGAGAUGACAAGUUCCUAACGUUCCAAACUACCGUCCAUCGCUGAUAGAUGGACACGUGUAGGGAAUUCGAGACAUGCAGAUGUAUGGCUAAGAUUCAGGUUUCCUACCCUUAAACCCUAAUCCUUGGCCUAUAAAUAGACCAAAGAUAAGAGGUUUAAGGGUCUCUUCUCUCCACACUCAUAUUUAACACACACAUAUGCACUCAGCAAAAUAUAUACACUUAAGCAACCACAUAUAACAACAAUCAUACACACACCCCCUACAUUGAUAGAUAGCUUAUUUUUAGUCCGUCUACUUUCGAGUCCGCUCUUACUCUCACGUCGGAGGCGUCGCGAGGCUCAAACCCCCUCCGAUGUUGUUUUGUAGGCUCCCAUCCAGUAGCUACACCGCAAGACGAUGACUGAGCACGGUAGAUAAAGAGCUGGAACGGAAUCUGAAGUUAUCAUUUGGCGCUAGAAGCUAGGAGGGGUGGUGUAUUCUCCGUCUUGUGGUCACGGUGCUACUGGACUCAUCUUCAUCAACAAAUUCCCGACAAGGGAGUCCUGUUUCAUCUCUGUGAGCUUCAACAAACUCCAACCUUCAAAAAACCAUCUCAACCAUGGCUAUUUCGUUGUGUGCACGUUAGCAAACUCAACCCGUAAGAAAUACAAAAUUUGUCUCUAGUACAUUAAACACUUUGUCUGGUAGCAUCUCAUAGUUUCCCAAAGUCUGCGGAAGGAUGAAGGCCCAGUUAGAACAUCUGCAUCCAGGAACCUGGCGAAACUUAAAGAUAUGUAUGGAGAUCUAAGUACAAGAAAGGAGGAUGCUGAAAACAUAAACCCUCCUAAAAAAAUUAAUGGUUCGGAGGAGGUCAUUAGACUUGGUGGUUCUACUUUGAAGUAGUGGCAGGAGGUGACCAAUAUUAAUGCUUGCUUCAAGAGAUGGUAAUUCCAGAUCCCGUUCCGGUACUUCCUCCGUCGUGUACUGGUGUAUUGCGGUGUUGUUGCUGGAUGGGAGCCUACAAAACAACACCCGAGGGGGGUUUGAGCCCCGCAGCGCCUUCGGCGUGAGGAUGAGUACAGACGUCGGAAUAGAUAGACGGAAAAUAAGCUAUCUAUGUGUGGUGGGUGAAGGUGUAUGGCUGUUGUGUAUGGUGGCUUGGAGUGUGUGAGAAAUAUGAGAGUGUGGAGAAGAAGAUCCUUAAGCCUCUCAUCCUUGGUCUAUUUAUAGAACAAGGAUUAUAGUUUAAGGAUGUGUAGCUUGGAUCCUGUCGUCCAUCUGUAGGGCUUGGAUGCUUGACACCUGUCCAGGUGUCAUUUAAGGAAUAAUAUUUUGGAGCGUUCUGAGGUUUGUCUUCAUAGUGUCAGUAGCUGACCAUUGUGUGACUUGGAUCCCGGUUCAUAUCCAGACUAAGUUUUGGAAAGAUUGGUGCCCACCAACCUGGGUUGAUUGCCUCUCCAGGGUCAUGGAAUUCUCUCCGGGUUGGGUGCGCCUCCGGGAUUGCGUCCUUGCAUUAUUAGUCCCUCGAACCGUGGUUGGAGUUGGUCUUGCUUCCGGUUCUUGGCGGGACUGAGGUAACCCAAUCCGGAUUGGGAUACCUGUCAGGACAUGGUUGAACUACCCUCACCAGUCCGGAUUGGUGCUUCUGUUAUGAUCAUGUUUAAAAGUGGUUGGACUAUUCUCCGUUGAGACGAAUUCUUCCCGGAAUUGUGCUGAGUCCGGACCAGACUUGGCCUAGGUUUUCGAGAAUACGGUCGGGUUGGAUUAUAUACUAUCAUUUGCCCCCAAUCCCUUAUACAGAUUUUCUAUGUGAGGGAGUAGUGAAUAAUGCGAAUCUUGCCUCCAAUCUGGACGGGAACGGAGUAGGAGUAAAGAUUUGCCUCGACUCUUUAAUCCGGACUGAUCUGGACUGAAAGUAGUAAGUUUCUGUUGCGCCAUGAUCUGGGUUGAUAUGGACUAGGGGUGAAUCUUUGAUUUUUGCCCCCCAAUCCGGGUUGAUCCGGACAAGAGGUGAGAUUUUGCUUUUUGCCCCCAGUCCGGGUUGAUCCAGGCAAUAGGAGGUUUUCGCUCUCGUCAUCUGAUCUGGGUCGCUACAGAUGGUUUCUAAGUAAUAUAGUAUGAAUGAGUCCGGGAGAGAUUGCUUGACAUGAUUCCGGACGGGACUGCCUGAUAUGAGUCUGGACGGGAUUGCUUUACAGAUAUUUGCCUUAGAAAAUUUUUCUAAGUAAUAGAGUGUGUAUGAGUCCGGACGAGAUUGCUUGCCAUGAGUCCGGACGGGAUUGCUUGACAUGAGUCCUGACGAGAUUGCUUGACAUGAGUCCGGACGGGAUUGCUUUACAAAUAUUUGUCUUAUAAAAUUUUUCUAAGUAAGAGAUAGCUCAUAAUUGGACCCGGGUUGCAUUUGCUUUUUUGCCUUAGAAAAUUUUUUCCAAUUAAGAAGUAGCUCAUAAUUGAACCGGGGUUGCUUUUGCUUUUUUGCCUUAGAAAUUUUUUUCCAAGUAAGAGAUAGCUCAAAAUUGAACCGGGGUAGCUUUUUUUUUUUUUUUUUUUGCCUUAGAAAAGUUUUUACAAAUAAGAGAUAGAUCAUAACUGGACCAGGGUAGCUCUUGCUUUUUUGCCUUGGAAAAUAUUUCGAAGUAAGAAAUAGCUCAUAAUUGGACCCGGGGUUGCUUUUUCUUUUGCUUUUGCUUUUGCUUUUUUGCCUUAGAACAUUUUUUCCAAGUAAGAAGUAGCUCAUAAUUGAACCGGGGUUGCUUUUGCUUUUUUGCCUUAAAUUCAAAGUUAGAAAUAGCUCAUCAUUGGACCCGGGGUUGCUUUUGCUUUUUCUUUUUUCCCUUAUAAAUUUUUUUCCAAGUAAGAAGUAGCUCAUAAUUGAACCGGGGUUGUUUUUGCUUUUUUGCCAUAGAAAAUUUUUUCCAAGUAAGAGAUAGCUCAAAAGUGAAGCGGGGUAGCUUUUGCUUUUUUGCCUUAAAAUAAUUUUUCCAAGUAAGAGAUAGGUUAUAACUGGACCGGGGUAGCUUUUGCUUUUUUGCCUUAUAAAAUUUUUCUAAGUAAGAGAUAGCUCAUAACUGGACCCGGGAUUGCUUUUGUUUUUUUUCCCUUAAAUUUUUUUUCCAAUCAAGAAGUAACUCAUAGUUGAACCGGGGUCGCUUUUGCUUUUUUGCCUUAAAUUUUUUUUUCCCCAAUUGAGAGAUAGGUCAUAACUGGACCGGGGUAGCUUUUGCUUUUUUGCCUUAGAAAUUUUUUCUAAGUAAGAGAUAGCUAAUAAUUGGACUCGGGGUUGCUUUUGCUUUUUUCCGUUAGAAAUUUUUUUCCAAGUAAGGAGUAACUCAUAAUUGAACUGGGGUUGCUUUUGCUUCUUUGCCUUAGAAAAUUUUUUCCAAGUGAGAGAGUGGUCAUAACUGGACCGGGGUAGCUUUUGUUUUUUUGGCAUAAAAAAAAUUUUCUAAGUAAUAAAUAGGUCAUAACCAGACCGAGGUAGCUUUUGCUUUUUUGCCUUCAAAAAUUUUUCUAAGUAAGAGAUAGCUAAUAAUUAGACUCGGGGUUGCUUUUGCUUUUUUGCCUUGGAAAAUUUUUCUAGGUAAGAGAUAGCUCAUAAUUGGACCGGGGUAGCUUUUGCUUUUUUGCCUUAGGAAUUUUUUUUUAAGUAAGAGAUGGCUAAUAAUUGGACCCGGGUAGCUUUUGAUUUUUUGCUUUGGAAUUUUUUUUCCUCAAGUAUGAUUGCUUAGUCCGGACUCAUUUGAGCCAGGACUUAUGGUUGCUUAGAAAAAGUAUUUUCUAGUGCCUACUCUGGACUCAUUAUUGAAUCAGGACUAGUAUGGUUGCUUAGUCCGGACUCGUCUAAGUCAGGGCUGGUAUUUUCUAAUGCCUAGUCCGAACUCAUCUAAGUCAGGACUAGUGUGGUUCCUUCGGUCCCGUACCUGGAGUCCCUACUAACUUUUGUUUUUAGCAGCUCAUGGAUCAUGUCUCUUAGACUGGUCUGAUCCUCAUUAUUUUCAUCGUCUGAGAUCAGCUCUAGGGUUGGCUCAUUCCUGGACCGCUUGGAGCGGGACUUGCUCAUAAGCCUUUUUUUCUUCUAGCCGGAUCCUUCUUUGAAUUUUCUGCUCUAGCUUUUCUUCUUCUUCCCUUCGGAUCUAUUCUUUCUUUUCGGCCAGGAUCUUUUGCCUUGCGGCAUCACUUUCUCUCUGCUUCUUUUUCUUGACUUUGUCACCAAUCCGGUCAAAGACGAAACCUCGGGAUUGGAGUCUUGCCCGAGUCCUCAGAGUUGGCGACAUGUUCAGCUUCCUUGCGAGUAUCAGCUUGGCGUUCAUGAUACUGCCGGAUUGCCUCGGCUAUUUCCUUGCUGGUGAGAUUUGCCAUGUGGUCGGCCGUUCCCGGGACAUCUGUGUACUUGAACUUGUUCGUCUCGAUAACAACCCGGGCAUCAUCCGGAUUAACCUGGGUCAGGAUUUGCUCGGAGUUCAGGUCCUGGAGUGGAUUCGCUUGGUCAGGACCUAACCCAUGUUGCUGGGAGCUGGUGGUAACCUUGGUUGAUCGGGUCUUUCCCCCUCUCACUAUAGUUCCGUAGAUGGUUUUGACUAGAAAACAAAACAAGACCAGGACAAGGCUCCUACUACAAGUUUUUAUGGAUGCUUUUUUCGAGAGGUAUAUAUGCACUAAAAAUGGCAAAGGGAUGACUAAGGGAGUGGAGACAGACAGUCAACUUACUAUGACCAGAAAUGCAAAAAAUGGCUAAGUGACAAGAUGUGUAAGGAACUACUAGACAGAGUGUUUAAUGAGCUUGGGACAAAUAUUUUGGUUUCUUGAGAUCGGGAUUUGCUAACGUGCACACCAACAAGAAAAUCAUGGCUGAGAUGGUUUUGAGAGAUUUGAGUGUUUUGAAGCUUACAGAAAUGAAUCAGGACUCCCUUUUCAAGAGCUUCCUGAAGAAGACGAGUCUAGUGGCAUUGUGACCACAGGACGGAGAAUACGCCAUCCCCUCCUUCUAGCGCCAAAUGAUAACUCCAGAUCCCGUUUCGGUACUUCCUCUGCCGUGUACUGGUGUCUUGCGGUGUUGCUGUCGGAUGGGAGCCUACAAAACAACACCGGAGGGGGGUUUGAGCCCCGCGGCGCCUCCGGCGUGAGAAUGAGUACAGGCGUCGGAAUAGAUGGACGGAAAAUAAGCUAUCUAUGUGUGGUGGGUGAAGGUGUAUGGCUGCUAUGUAUGGUGGCUUGGAGUGUGUGAGAAAUAUGAGAGUGUGGAGAAGAAGAUCCUUAAGCCUCUCAUCCUUGGUCUAUUUAUAGACCAAGGAUUAGGGUUUAAGGAUGUGUACCUUGGAUCCUGUCGUCCAUCUGUAGGGCUUGGAUGCUUGACACCUGUCUAGGUGUCAGCUAAAGAAUAGUAUUUUGGAGUGUUCUGAGGUUUGUCUUCAUAGUGUCAGUAGCUAACCAUUGUGUGACUUGGAUCCCGGUUCAUAUCCAGACUAAGUUCUGGCAAGACUGGUGUCCACCGACCCGGGUUGAUUGCCUCUCCAGGGUCAUGGAAUUCUCUCCGAGUUGGGUGUGCCUCCGGGAUUGCGUCCUUGCAUUAUUAGUCCCUCGAACCGGGGUUGGAGUUGGUCUUGCUUCCGGUUCUUGGCGGGAUUGAGGUAACCCAAUCCGGAUUGGGAUACUUGCCAGGACAUGGUUGAACUAUUCUCCAGUCUGGAUUGGUGUUUCUGUUAUGAUCAUGUUCUGAAAUGGUUGGACUAUUCUCCGUUGGGACGAAUUCUUUCCGGGGUUGUGCUGAGUCCAAACCAAACUUGGCCUAGGACUUCGAGAAUACGAUCGAGUUGGUUUAUAUACUAUCAGGAGACAAGUUAUAUUGAUAAAUGUGUGCGCUGCAUUUGCUGUUCUGAGCAAUUACCAUGUAUAUAUAUUAGAUGUCAGUUAAUACAUUACUGUAUCGGUACUUCACUCCAUGUAACAGAUUAGUUUUGUUGAUUUGUUUCUAAAAAACUUUGUAUUAAAAUAAUGCUGGUAAAAUUGUUUUGAUUUUGAUACUUUUUAAAUUCAUAAACAUGCUUGUGAGUUGUUUCAAGCAAAUAUUUUUUUUCUUCUUUUCCUCGUGUGCUUUUUUACUUUUCGAGACUCGUAUGGCCUUUAAAUUUCUCCCAACACAUUCGACUAUUUCCCUAAAAUUUCCUAGAAAUUUUCAAAACUUCUCAAUAACUUUCCUAUAAUUUACUAAAUUUUUAAGCAAAAAUCAGCAAUUUUGGCUUUAAAAUCAGUUUUUGGUUUUACAGUUUUACCCGCCCAAACAACUCUCAGUCAGAGGGACUUCUGCGCCCUUUUCUUGGCUGUUUUGGUCUAUGUAAUGCAGAGGUGUUAUAAUAAUAAUUGGAAUGAAUAAAUAUUGCACGAAUGUCCGGCUCAAAGUGAAAAAAAAAGAAGCUUUUCUUAAUAUUACUUAUUACAUUUUUAUUAGACAAUCAAAAACAUUCACGUGAUCCAAGAGAUAGUGUAAGAACUCAUCUGAUAAGUUUCUCUCCAAAAUUCUCCACUGAUCAUUAAUUGCCUUUUUCCAAGCAUGAAUAGGCUACAAAGAGAAUAUUACAAAAAAAAAGAAGGCUAAAGUUAGGGCAACAAAUACUUGUAAUCCUGUGGUCCAAGAACUCGUAUAAUAAAAACAUGUAAAGUAACUUGAUAUCCUCGAAAACCCAGACUAUCAUAGUAAUGAUUCAAGAAAUCAUCAACUAUGUCAGAUUUUUUAAAGAUCUGAUAAUUUUGCAUAACAAUAUGUUGCCUCUUUACUCAAAACAAAGAGGUCCCCCAUAAACUUCAGUUUGUAAAUAUAUACAUGUCUAUAGUAUGUGAAUCAGUUUUGUUAUGACUUGCUAACGAUGCCUAACAUAACAUAUUGUUAUGGACCUAUAUUUAUGUUGCAUAUUUUUAUAAAAUGAUAACUUUAGCAAGUCAUAACAAAAUUGAUUUACGUGGAACAUAUUUUGCUAUAUUUUUAUGUUUAUAUUAUAAUAAUUUUGCAUAACAAUAUGUGGCCUCUUUAAAGCCUGAAUAUGUUUGCAUUUUCAGACGUUUGCUCGGGCAUUCGAGUUCCUUGUUCAGGCUUGAGUCAUUGUUUGGGCAUUUGCUUGGUGCUAGGACAAAAACGAUUAUAGGUUUUUGAUUUCACCAUAAAAUUUGGAAAGCUUUCUUUUUUACAUCAUGCGCUUGAUUAUUCAAUAAAAGUCUUAACUUCAAGAACCAAUUUCUUUUUGAUCAAAUUUUGCUUUGGAAACCAGAAUUUACUUUUAUAAACUGAAUUCUUUGGUAAAUUCCUAUUCAGGUGAUUUUGCUCUAAACUCUUUGAUUUUAGAAAUUUCGGAUAUUAAUUAAUACCCUUAGCUCUUCUCGGGAGCUCAAAAAACCUUUGACUUCUCCGAGGAUCUUUGAUGUUCUUUAGCGUUGGAGGCACUCUUGGCUUCACCAUGACGUUCCUUGGCGUCCGAGGCACUCUUAACGUCACCCUGCCAUUCCUUGGCUCUCAAGGCAGCUUGGCAUCAUCUUGGUGUUCCUUGACACCCGAGGCUGUUUGAGGGAGCGUGAAGCUUCCUCGGCUCUUCUCAAGGAUCCUUGCCCCGGUUCUCUAGACGGAUCUAAUUUCUCACGAAAAUAUCUUUUCACAGAAUAUUUCGGUAAUUUUAAUACUCACACCUAACAUAUUUCUUACUGUAGCUAUUUACUCAUCCUUACUCUGAGCUUGAUCAAUUAUUUUAUCACUUUUUGUAUCCAUACCUUAUAUGCAUGUCUUUCUUGAAAUUAUCCAGCUAUUUUCACCUUUUCCUUGCCUAUAAAAGAUUAAAGGGUGAAAUCUUUGAACCGCACACCUCCGGUUGCAAACUUCUCCAAAUUUUCCUCUAGUUAGUUCUCUAGGUUUUUUUUUUCCAUCUAGUUUUAGGAAGAAUCUCUCAAGAUCGUCAAGUAUAUUCAAGCUUGUUCUUGAGACAUUCAAGCAUUCGGGGUGGAAGUGUUGUUCGAUCUUCAAAUAGGUUGUGUUCUUUUUUCAUGUUGAAGUUAUUAGCCGAUACCAAAAUUAGCCCGUGUCAGAGCAUCUCCAACGGCGUUGGCUAUAAUCGUUGGCUAAAUUAGACCUGUAAGAUAUUAUGUAAAAUUUGCUGAACCUGUAAGACAUUUUGCUUCAAUGGUAAUGGCUAUAUUGGUUGGCUAUAAUUUAAAAAUAGUAUGUUAUUAAUAUUUUAAAUUGUUAAAAUAGAAUAUAUCAGUUCAAUAUGGUAAUAAAUUAUGUACAAUCUUCCUACAGAUUUUCUUACAGACCUGUAGAGGUUCGACAAAUUUAGCCAUCCAUAGGAGGUUGGCUAAAUUUAUAGACAACAGGUGAGCAUGGUUGGAGUUGAAUUUUUGGAGCUGUUGGCUAAAUUUUCUUAAUUUAAGUAAGCCAACUCACCUUUUAGACAAGGGUUUUAGAUGGUUGGAGAUGCUCUCAGCUUGUUCCUAACAUUCCCAUAUCUGGGAAAGGGUGGAUUACAUCUGACAUCAAAGAUCUUUAACCAGUUGUCCUUUGAACACUCCAUGCAUGAUCGGAAAAAGUCGAUUUUCAAACUCAGAUGGAAGGGCGAAAAUCGGGGUUUGUAUUCUAGGGACCAUUUCUCACCUAUAAUUCUGUAAUUAUACCAACUAAAAAUCUGUAAUCGAACAAAUCCUUUCCUGCAAAUUUCGAUUUUGACUGUGACGAAAAGGAACCACCUGGACACCUUGUUGUUUUAUAAUGUGUAUUACCUGUAAAAAAAAGUAAGGAUUUUCUAAAGGGUUCGGGUAUGUCAGGACCAGUUACAUAACCUACAGCUUUUUGGUCAAAUGAAUAUCCAGUAUCUAGCGGCCUAGAUUGCCUGGGUUAUGAUCUACGUUCAGCGUUUAAAAUACGUUGUACGAGACCUUACGACGCUUUUUAACCAUUGUGCGGAGUUACAUUAUGUAACCUCAUACAGCGGUUAAAAAGCGCUGUAUGUAUUAAAAUUUGUUAUAAUCCUGGUCGCUGGAUAUUCAUCUAACGGCCAAAAAGUUGUAGGCUAUUUAACAGGUCCCUGACAUAUGUUUUGUCAAAGCCUCGACCCUUUUCUAAAAGUGUUUAUCAUUGAUAUAAUUAAAAUUGUUACGUGAUAUUUCACUUAUGUGUAUCAAAUUAACACAGAGAGUGAUUAUGCAUAUAUACUAGUGAAGUUUAUGUGUUUAUUGAUAGUACAAUUUCUUCUCUCUGGGAGGACUUAUUAUGGCAUAAUUGAAAUAGAAAUUUAGCAGAACUAUGAUGUUCUAGCAUCGCUGAUUAUCACCAGGUGCUACACCAAAUUUACUACAAUAUGAGUUGUAAAGACUAACACGCGAGUUGACAGCAGCCGGUCUUUUACCGUCGCACUCAAUGCUGUUGAUGGCACGGAUAGUUGCCCCGAAACCUUGGGUAGUAACAGACUGAACGUUGACCUUCCAGUACCACAAGGCCGUCUUGAAGGACAACACUGCAUCUGAAGCCACGAUGUCUGGAUUGUUUAGCCCAUCGAAGUCAUUACUCUUUCCAGCAUCAAUGUAGUUAUAGUUCCAUGUUAGCUGAAGAGGGCCGCGGCCAAAGUAGUACACAUUUGGGUUGCAAGGGUACUCUGCCGUUGAUUGGCAGUAAUUGUGGUCGCGACCAUCUGUCUCUUCUUUAUGGCAGAAAUCUGCGCUCAAAUUUAGUAAUUAUGUCAGAACAUUUUCGAUAAGCAACGAAACAUUAAAUUAAAAGUUGAAACUAAGGAGCACGAUUGGAUAGCCCAAAUGGUGGGUUUAACCUCUAUUGUCCCCGGAUACCCGGGUUCGAUUCUGGCUCAACUCGAGAAGUAUUAGAACAGAUACUCAUUUGUAAGACAUAUAAGUCUAAAUUAUCAAAAAAAAGGUUAAAACUAAGAAUUAUAGAUUUAGUUGCCAAAAAAUUUAAGUGUAAAGGAUAGAAUUUAUACAUCCGGUCUCAUGGGUAGCAUGGGCAAAAAAAGCUGCAAUCUCGCGCUUAGAAUCAUCAGCAGAACCAGCAGUUCCAAACGAGGAGUAGGAUUGAAGUGCAUUAAGAAACGCUGAUCUGGUAUAAAAGUUCUUCCCGUCGCAAUCUCCUGUGGCUUGACUAAUGAUUCCAUUAAAGAAAUCGUCAGAGACAAUAUCAGCAACGGAAACACCAUUACUACCACCCCCACUUGGUGCAGAAUUAGUGCAGGGACCAGCUUGGCAUCCCUCGCCACAAUAAUCGGAGGUAGUGCCGCAGUAACCGUACUUGCUGCAGCAGAGGCCUGCAGCACAGUUGCAGUUCUGGGCAGAAACUAGUGAGGCGGCAAUGAAGAUAGCGGUUAGGAAAAUGAAAAAGGUUUUCAUUUUGUUGUUUGUAGUAGAGGAUGA
RNAcentral lists this long non-coding RNA (12447 nucleotides) under Daucus carota (carrot). RNAcentral describes it as "long non-coding RNA (DCAR_LNC005582)". Lineage: Eukaryota; Viridiplantae; Streptophyta; Magnoliopsida; Apiales; Apiaceae. The record is from RNAcentral.